AGUGAACGCUGGCGGUAGGCCUAACACAUGCAAGUCGAACGGCAGCACAGUAAGAGCUUGCUCUUACGGGUGGCGAGUGGCGGACGGGUGAGGAAUACAUCGGAAUCUACUUUUUCGUGGGGGAUAACGUAGGGAAACUUACGCUAAUACCGCAUACGACCUACGGGUGAAAGCAGGGGAUCUUCUGACCUUGCGCGAUUGAAUGAGCCGAUGUCGGAUUAGCUAGUUGGCGGGGUAAGGGCCCACCAAGGCGACGAUCCGUAGCUGGUCUGAGAGGAUGAUCAGCCACACUGGAACUGAGACACGGUCCAGACUCCUACGGGAGGCAGCAGUGGGGAAUAUUGGACAAUGGGCGCAAGCCUGAUCCAGCCAUACCGCGUGGGUGAAGAAGGCCUUCGGGUUGUAAAGCCCUUUUGUUGGGAAAGAAAAGCAGCAGGUUAAUACCCCGCUGUUCUGACGGUACCCAAAGAAUAAGCACCGGCUAACUUCGUG
Molecule: ribosomal RNA, 492 nt
Filed under: uncultured bacterium
Lineage: Bacteria
Description: partial 16S ribosomal RNA
Rfam family: Bacterial small subunit ribosomal RNA
Source: RNAcentral